Molecule: long non-coding RNA, 2866 nt
Filed under: Mus musculus (house mouse)
Lineage: Eukaryota; Metazoa; Chordata; Mammalia; Rodentia; Muridae
Description: long non-coding RNA chr12:89298018-89300884
Source: RNAcentral
GAGGGAGUUUUCGGAGGGGAAACCAGGAAAGAGGAUAACAUUUGAAAUGUAAAUAAAGAAAAUAUCCAAGAGAAAAAGAGAAAAAAACCAAAAAACAAACAAACAAACAAACAAACAAACACCAAGGAGAAGCAGAAGACUGGGAUUUGGGUGACAGGCUGUGAAUUAUCUCCAAGUCCAACUGACCACAGUGACAUUGGUGAGUAUUCAUUCUUGCUGAACCAGCAGUGACAAUUCCCAGGUAACCCUGCAAGUACUGGGAGAAAGUGGUGCACAGCACCUCUCCGGAGCUUAACUUUAGAGCUUGGGGGUUGGGACCUCAAUGGUUUCUCCUGCUGUGUCCUUUAUUUCACAUGCAUUGACACUGCUCAGGCUUUGGGCUAUUUAGAGCAUCUCUUCUCUUCCUUUGUGGCUCGGGCUGUUGUCACCUUUACCAUAAGAUAUGUUACCUGAAAAGGCUUUUAAGACGAUUCAAUCUAUUCCCUCCUGCCCCUGUGGAUGUAAAGGAGAAUUCUCCAUUGCCCCAUAGCAUUAUUCUUGGAUGCUCUCAGUGAGUAAUGAUGACAAUGGUUGCUAAGCUGCAAUGCUUAUUCUGUGCUAGAUAUGGGUCUCUCAUAUGUCAUUAGUUCCGUCAGGCCUUAACAAAAAUUAUAAGCAGCAUUUUAUAAAAGAGGAAAUGGGAGAAAUGAAUGAUAGAAAACUUACCUGAGCUGUAACUGGCAGAAAUGAAGGCCAAAGAAAAAUUGGAGCUCUUGUACUGCUUAGGUCUAGAAGGGCACUUUAUACUUUGGUCCUCCCAGUACAGAAGCCCCCUCUUCAGGGGUUGAGGAGGCCAGUGGUGUAAUGCGUGACUAGCAGAUGCCAUACCUAGAUCAAUCCUUGGUACUCAAAAAGUAGAUAGACAGAUGAUAGAUAGAUAGAUAGAUAGAUAGAUAGACAGACAAGACAUAAAAUAAUUUCACCGAAUGAGAAUUGGUAAUGUCCACCCAGCUACCAGUUGAUUGCUGGUUUUUGUUUCUGCUUUCCAGGGGUAAGGGUGCAGGAAUUCAACACUUUGGACAGCAAUAGACUACAAUUAGUUCAGAAAAUGUAAGAUGUUUCUGAAAGCAAGAUAGAAAUGAAUGGAUUGAUUAAAGUGGAAAGUCAGUAAUUAGAGCUUAGUUGGUGUUUUUCUUUUUGGUUAAGUGUAAAUCUUGUUUCCUGUACUAAAGCCACUUCUACUAAGCUGGGUUUGGCUCUCCUUGGGUAGGACCUCCAGUUAUUCUAAUGUAAGUAUGGCCUCAGAUCACAAAGCCACCCUGGUCUUCUCAGUAGCAAAGCCAGGGAUGGAGAACAUAAACGGUGUAAUGCCUACUGAGCAUAUGACGUAUACUCGGUCAGUCCUUCAUACUCUAAAGUUAGAUAAAUAGAUAAAACCAGAUAAAACUCCUCAGAGAAUGAGAGUUGGUAAUGUCCUCUGUUGCUCUAUGUGCUUGUAGUCUCCUCAGCCCCAGGUCUUGACACCCCCAGUACCUCAAUUUCUCAGUUCUUGGCAUCAGGCCUUCUCUCAUUUCCAAGGGCUUGCUCAGUUGUUUCCCAUUGCUGAGUUUGCCCGUGUCAUUCCCAAUACCUGGGAUUGCCUUAUCCAUUUUUUUUCCCAACCGAAACUUUCAUGUCAGUUGAAAGACAGCUUACUUUAAAAAUCUUCCCCCAACUUUCUCUACCUAGAAAACUUGUAUUUUAUGUUUCAUUAUUUCCAUACACCUUUCCAUGUCUUUACAUAUGAAAAGUAUACUCUAAGAGUGAGGUCAUUUUCAAAGCAUCAUCUCCAUCCUCAUGAGUACCAGGCUUACCCAGGAAGUGGAAACUCUCCAACCCAACCCGAAACCUACUCAGCCAGAGACUCUGCAGUGGACUGGGUCAGUGUACCAAGGCUAAGCUCACCUGGGUCAGUAUGCGGCCUUAGCUCUUGCUUUUCUCCUUCUAUCUGGACAGAUGGACAGCUCUUCCCUGAUGCAUUUACUUCCCACUCCUACGCAGUGCUCACUCACCUAGUAAUUUCCUGCAUGGAUAAAUAAUUUUGUUUGACUUUGUAACAUUUGUUUAAAGAAGAUGAUUUGUAACAGUCUUUAAAGGAAGACUGUUUUCAAUUUUACAGAUUAAAAAAAUGAGAGGCCUUGUAGUCCCUAGGACAGAGACAUGGCAAGUCCAGUGUAUUCACAAAUUUUCUCUUUGGAGAAAAUGCCCACAGUGGGAUGGGUAUGCCUCUAUUAAGUAGAUUCUACCAUUGAAGAAAGGUGUCCAUGCACCAUCUGAAAUGAACCUUCUUUCCUUUCUCCUUUACUAAAGCAUUUAUUGACGAUACUGUACCAAAUGCUCCUGGGGGUGGGGGUAUCCAAAAGGAUACUGUCCUCAAAGACCAUAUAUUAUCUCGAUGUCUCUCUGCCUGCAGUGUGUGUAAGCAUGAAAGCCUGUUGCAGAUUCACAUGUGUAUUCAAAUGCCAAGCAGAUAGUGAUACAAAAAAAUGACAAUAUAAACUACUUUCACUUGGAAAAUAUAGGUAAUGCAUUUUCAUGAUUUUGCACAUGAAAAUGAUGAGACCUAUUUUCACAAGGCUUGCUUAUGACAACAAAAUAAUACCGGGGACAUCUUAUUUCUCAUCCAAAUAUUUAUUUACCCCAAACAAUUUAAGACUAUCCUAUACAAUGUGUAUGGAUACUUUCUGGGAAGUGUAAUGUCCCAGGAAAAUAAUUGAUACAUUUUCAACACUACUACAUGGUUCACGAUAGAGUGGAAGUUGGGUUGUGUGUUCCUUUAAAUCAUUUACUUCAUUUCUGUCUUGCUCCCACUUUUAAAAACUGCCUUUGUUGAAAAGAAAACAAGACC